Molecule: long non-coding RNA, 3909 nt
Filed under: Pan troglodytes (chimpanzee)
Lineage: Eukaryota; Metazoa; Chordata; Mammalia; Primates; Hominidae
Description: long non-coding RNA NONPTRT005132
Source: RNAcentral
UUUUUUUUUUUUUUUUUCUUUUUGAGACGGAGUCUCCCUAUGUUGCCCAGGCUGGUCUCAAACUCCUGAACUCUAGGGAUCCUCCCACCUCAGCCUCCCAGUGGGCUGGAAUUUCAGUUGUGAGUCACCAUGCCCAGCCUUAAUUUCUUCCUUUCCUUCCCUUCCCCUUCCCCUUUCCCUUUUUCUUUUCUGCCUGCCUUCUUUUCUUCUUUCUUUUUUCACAGUCUUGUUCUGUCACCCAGGAUGGAGUGUGGUGACACAAUCUCAGCUCACUGCAACCUCCACCUCCCGGGUUCAAGUGAGUCCCCAGCCUCAGCCUCGCAAGUAACUGGGACUACAGGCGCACACCACCACACCCGGCUAUUUUUGGUAUUUUUUAGGAGAGACAGGGGGUUUCACCACGUUGGCCAGGCUGGUCUCAAACUCCUGGGCUAAAAUGAUCCACCCGCCUCGGCCUCCCAAAGUGGUGGGAUUACAGGUGUGAGCCACUGGUCCCAGCUCAGCCUUAAUGUUUUCUUUUUCAUAAAUAUAUUCAUCAAUCUAAUUCGUGUAAUCAUCUCUUUGAUGGCUGUGAAGCUCUUUGUUGGCUGAGCAUAGAUUUACCUUUUAAUAAUUUGUUUCUGCAUCUGAGCAGGUAAAAACUGUUCUGGUCUACCCUCACUGAGGCUGUGUGGAGGAAAUGGUGAAUGUUUCCUCCUCUUUCCUCUCACCUCUGAGCCCACUAUUGUCCCCCUGGUCAACCACCUUUUCUCUGGCCUCAACACCAAGCAAAGGGGUGAGUGAAUAUCAGCCUGGUGAGCAGCUCAAGCAAUUCUGCAGCUAACAGAAGGCCACCUCCUCAUUCUUUGACCCCUUCCUGUGACAGAGACUCCCUGAGGUCCACAGCCGGGCUCUGCCUCAUGAGGAACAGAGCCAUGGAGAUAAAUGGGAGGGGUCCUUGGCUCAGAGGCGAGGAGUGGGGGAGGGGAGGAGGCCAACAAUCAAUGAAAAUAGUCAGCAUUGGGCGGGAUUGAUCUGGAGUGAGGAAUUAAUAGAGCAAAUCACUGCUGGGCCUGCUUAGCUGUGACUAAGCAGAGACUUCCCUGACUUCAUUGCUGCCUGAGUUGAGCAGCAGCCAGGAGGGAGGUGGGGACAACAGGGAGACCUAAAGAAGAAAUGGGGGGCAGGAAGCUCCAGGAGACAGGGCCGGCCAGGGCCAGGGGCUCUUGACUCCAGCUUGGUUCCCCAGAGGGUAGGUCUUGGGGGCCCUGGGGGACCAACUGGGAUACUUGGUAAAUGGAGCACUGGGGGGUAAGAGACAGGGAGAGGGAGAGCCCUGGCACUUGUUCCAACCCAAAGAAGCCCUCUGUUGUUUUCCCUCUAGAAAACAAACUAGUUUGUUUUAAAAAAUAAACUUUUUUUUUUGAGACAGAGUCUUACUCCAUCGCCCAGGCUGGAGUGCAGUGGCACGAUCUUGGCUCACUGCAACCUCUGCCUCCCGGGUUCAAGGGAUUCUCCCACCUCAGCCUCCCAAAUAAUUGGGAUUACAGGCACCCGCCACCACGCCCAGCUAAUUUUUGUAUUUUUAGUAGAGACAGGGUUUUGCCGUGUUGCCCAGGCUGGUCUCAAACUCCUGACCUCAAAUGAUCCACCUGCUUCAGCCUUCCAAAGUGCUGGGAUUACAGGCGUGAACCACCACACCCGGCCUAAAAGCAAGCUUUAUUUUUACAAUUUUAGAUUUACAAAAAAAAUUGUGAAGAUAGUACAGAGUUCCCAGGUCCAUAGUACAGAGACCUCAUAACCCCCUGCUGUAGUUUGAAUGUGUUCCUCCACGUUCAUGUGUUGGAAACACAAUCUGCAGUGCGACAGUGUUAGUAGGUGGGUCCUAAUAGCUGAUGAGGUCAUAAGGGAGAAUGGAUUAACAUUAUCAUGGUAGUAGGCCUGUUAUAAAAGCAAAGUCGGCCCCCUCUUGUUCUCUAACACAUGCUCUUGUGCCCUUUUAUCUCCCACCAUGUUAUGAUGCAGUAAGAAGACACUCACCAAAUGCAGUCCCUCAACCUUGGACUUUCCAGCCUCCAGAACUGAGCUGGAGAUUUCCCACAUGUGCCCCUCAGGGUCCUGGUCUGCGAGGACCACAUCUGGGUCCAAUCCAGGGUAUUAGGACUGCUGACCUCCUGUCAUUCUCCUUCGCUGAUGGGCUGCCAGAAACCUCAUCCACGAGGGAGUUCGCAUCUAAGCCAAUUUGAAACAAUCUUACGAGAUUUCUUGAGCCCAAAUCUCAAAUACAGCCUAUCUCAUCUGCUCACCCCGCUCUCUCAUCUCGUAAUUCCAUCCAUCACAUCAUCAAGUCGGUGGGUCACAGCUGUCUGUAGACAAUUUCAUAUGGUCUUCCUCGAGCUGUUUCUCUUUGACUCUCCUUCCCUUUGACACGGAUUUAGCAUAAUCUGUCUGGCUUUCAACUCCAGAUACUGUUACCUCUUUCGUUUGUUGUUGUUUAGGUUGAGGGUAAGAUGUGGAAGGGCACAGGUGUGCACAAAAGGAAGGGAGUUCUCUUGGGGGCCAAGGUGGGCUGUGAGCUUCCGCAGAGGGCCGUAGGAAACAGGGUUAUCAGUAAGUCAGUACCAAGGAGAGAGGCAAAUGCCGACUACUAUGUGGGGAGUAGGAGGGAGUCAGAGGUAAGAACUAUGGAUCGUUGGGACAUUUAGGUUGUGUCGAUCAUGGAGGCCAAUCCCAUGUCACAGUGAUUAAUGUCAUUGAAGGGUGGUAUCGGCUCAGUGGAGAGAUGUAGGCCACUUGUACCUCUACAAUUAGAGUAAUUUUUUAAAAAAGGAACCCAGUAAUUUUGACCUAAAAUAUCAACUUGUAGAUUUACUUUUUUUUUUUUUCGAGACAGGGUCUUGCUCUGUUGCCCAGGUUGGAGUGCAAUGGCAUGAUCUCGGCUCACUGCACCCUCCACCUCCCGGGUUUAAGCAAUCCCCCUGCCUCAGCCUCCUGAGUAGCUGGGAUUACAGGAGUGUGCCUCCACCCCUGGCUAAUUUUUAUAUUUUUAGUAGACACAGGGUUUCACCAUGUUAGCCAGGCUGGUCUCGAACUCCUGACCUCAAGUGAUCUGCCCACCUCGGCCCCCCAAAGUGCUGAGAUUACAGGCAUGAGCCAUUUCACCCAGCCGUAGAUUUACUUUUUAUGCCACCCAUACACAGGGAACACAAACCAUUCCCCACCCACAGUGGACUCCUGGAUUUCUCCCCUACUAUUUUUAAGUCAAUUUUAUUCUUACUUGUAUCUUUACAGAAAAUGGCACAGAAAUCACAGGUUUCGAAUACCUAGAAGUUAUUACAGUUCCAUAUUUCAAACACCUCAAUAUCAAGUUUCUUUCUUCUCACUCUAUGUACAUUAUUUACACACCAGGAGCUAUAGUCUAACACUUCAAACCAACAGGGACAAAGACAAGAAGAACCGGACUAGGGGGAGGGAAGUUCCAUAAAUGGAAUGAAGAAGAAAUCAACUUUUGAUAUGGAAUUAAAGUUGCAACGCAUUGUCUCAGGCCAUUUUCUAACGAGGUAUUCCCUGCAAAGGUGGGUGGGGUGGUGGAUAGGUGGAUGGGGUCGGGAGCCUGGCCUGGGAAUCUGGAUCGGGCAGGUCAACAGGGCUAUGUGCUCCCAUUGUUCAUGCGAAUGGAAAAGGCCAGGCCGGAGAGGUCACCAUACACAGGUCCACCCAUCAGCCGGCAGAAAGAAGCCCCGGCUCCUUAUUCCAUCAUGGUUACCGUGUUUUAGUCUAGUGAACGUGCUUCCUGGCAUGCACUGGCAUGAAGGCGUGUGUGCCUGUAGCUUAGCUUGGGCUUACUCCUGGCCUUCUGCCUUGCUUUCCUUCCAGCCUUUUUCCCAUCCUUCUGAACAGGUCAAAGGCUUGCUCUGAGAGGUGCUCAGC